This 9576-nucleotide long non-coding RNA is filed under the name Sorghum bicolor (sorghum). RNAcentral's name for it is "long non-coding RNA (SBIC_LNC017992)". The record is from RNAcentral. Lineage: Eukaryota; Viridiplantae; Streptophyta; Magnoliopsida; Poales; Poaceae.
CAGUGGUUUCAUGCCUUAAAGGUACACAUGCGUUCAAGCAAGAUCUCAUCUUUGAGUUAGAGUAAACUGUUAAGACUUAAAACUUACUCAUUUUACCUUUCACCAUGGGGCUUGCAACCAUUACUUGUGUCUUGAGCAGUUAAAAGAUAGAACGGUCAAGUCAAGCACCAUGUCUCUUGUUCUUGAUCAACUAUAGCUCUGGAGUUUUUUGCAGAUUUUCAAAUAAAACUCAUAGAUUCCUGUAUGACUCUCUCUAGUCUCUCUUUUGUGGUAUUUCUGGAUCCUCACCAAGGCAGUGAUGGUGUAUGCCUUCUCUCAAAGUAUGUAGUAUUUGUGGUAUGAGGCAUAGUGAUAUUGCCUUCUCUCUCACCCUACUCUAAUAAGGUUUUGAUAUCUGGAGCUCAUAGGUGCGAGACAGCUAAUACAUACUUACAAGACAUUUAUUGCAUAGUCAAACCAUGGAUCCAGAGAAACAAGUCAAUAAGUCAAAUCAAGAUGUGCAUGUGUGGCGAAUGAAUGGUGUAUGGUGAUGAUGGUGAUAAUGGUGAAAACAAUGGUGAAAGUCUAAUUCUACUUUUGCUCUUUUGAGGGGAUACAUACCUUUCUUGCACUUUGAAGCUUCUUGAGGGGAAUGAGAUGGUCUAUAUUUUCUUUUUCUUUUCCCUCAGGUGGGUAUCUUGUACCCCUAAUUCUACUGUCGGACACUUGUCCAUUUUUACCUCUCGUCUCACUUUUUCUUUUUCUUCGAGGUUCCGGGCACUUGCCCCUUUAUACUUCCUCGUAUUUUUUUCUCUUUUUUUAGAGCAAUCACCCUCCUGGAAUAAUAUAGCAAGUGGUAGUAACCAAGAUAACUCGGGCAUUUAUUUCACAGGGGAAAAAUAGAAAUGUUUUUGUUUAUUCUCUCCCGAAUUAGGAGUAGAAUAUUUUUGGGUGGUUCUGGAGAUGGAAAGGAGUGGAUGUAUGUGGAUGCGUACUUCUGGAGUAGAAGCAGUAUGUAUGAGUGAACAUGCAAGUGAAUCUUGAUUUUAACCGCAUGACAAGCUCCUAAGGGUCUACACAGCUUGACCACACUCAAUGCUCAUAAGCAGUAAAAAGUAAAUGUGUGGCUCAAAGUGUAGCAAGCAUGUAUAUAUAGCUGUGGUAGGAUUUUAAACUCUCAUCAUACAGGAACUCAUCAUGCAACAUUUUAAAGAUUUUCAAAGAUAAAAUUCUCCAGAAUUCUAGCAUCUCUAGGAACAGAUAAAUAGCAGCUCAAUCUUCCCAUAUCGUAUCCAUUAACAACUUAGACUUUAGAUCAAGUACUCUUCCCACAAGUUCAGGUUUAGAGCAAAUCUUAAUUUAUAACAGUCAUGCCUAAACUUGAGAGAGAUUUCAAUUUUGAGAACUAGUCAUGGCAGAGCAACUAUUCAUCAUUUCUAUGUGAGAGCUUAUCAUGAGGGUUCAUAGCAAACUUUAUUUAUUUAUUUAUUUAGCAAACUAAGCAAAGAUAUAUAUAUAUAUAUAUAUAAGCAUAAAAUCUUUAUUUGGGUUUUUAUGAUUAUGCAUCUUUUUAUUAUUUGAGUAAAGUAUAAACGCGAGUAGAAACACUUAGCUGGAUAAAUGGGGGUGCUCUCCCCCAAGCUGGAUUUUGACGUAAUUUCUUCUGAUGUAGCUAGCAGGUGACGGAGGUGUAUUUGAAUGUCGGCAGCACCCUGUCAGCGAUUACUAUGUCCUCCACCGGCUAGUCUUCUUUGAUCCUUGAAUUCUAUGGAGCUCAAAUAGACAACAAAGCUUUGUGGAACUAGUUAAGUGUUAGCAUAAAAUCUCUUAGCCUUUAUUAUAUUGAGAUUCCUCCUAAUAAAUUUUAUUUAUUGAGCAGGAUCAUGCACUUAUUAUUUUUAUAUUUUUAUUGUAAGAUGAAAACAUAUUUAUUUUAUGCCACCACAGUCAAUAUACCUAUGGGUUUUAAACCACAAGUCUACUCACAUGGGGCUUUAGAUUUCAUGAUGCAGUGCAACGAACAAAUAUUUUUGUUUUCUUUUCUAAUGCUAAUGUGGAAAAGUAGAUAUGCUAAUGCAAGUGAUGGAAUAAAAAGGAAAAGGAAUGCAGAAAAGAUAAAUAUGGAUAACUAACGAUCUUACCUUUUGGCGAGGGUUCAAUGUUUUAAGUCUUCUAAACAAGACUUCUCACCAUGUUCAUUCUUUAGGUGCGUCAUUUGAUUCAGGUGUGGACCUUGACGUCUGCACCUCUUGAUACGGUGUCACCUAUGUUCUUUGGUUGCCCAGCAGUUUGAAGUGCGGUGUUGGCAGUAUCUUGCUCAGUGUGUUUGUGCUCGUAGAUCCAGGUCCUUCACUUGGUGGAGUCUGGGAGUUGUAAAACUCCUCCAUGUUUUGCACGAAGUGUACCUGCUCAUAGAGACAAGGCAGAGAUCAAGUGCAUGGGCCCUGUUGGUGGAAAACACCAACAGAACCAAAAGUGUAUUUGUUCUGCUCUAACCUUAAGCAUAGUGAGCAAGACAAAGUUGAUGGAUACUAAGAUCAUGAGUGUAGCAUUUAAAACAAUUGUCAGAUCAGAUCGCUCAACCUUAUGGAAAGAUAAUCUAUCUAUGUUUAUGUUUUAUUUUUUUAUAUAUAUCUUCCAAAGAUUGAGUGUGCAACAUUUUAGCUCAUAUCAUUAGAAGUGUGGGAUCACAAACAUGUUGAAUUGAUUGGGUUGGUUCACCUAGAGUUGUAAAUCAUACAUGUUUGUCUUUUUUAUUCAUAUGAACUCUAGAACCAAGGAGAAGCUUAUAAAAGUGAUAGUCAAGUACCUUAAGAUGUUACCUUACUUGAACAAUGAUGGUACAGUAUCACCUUGUGGAAGCUUUCCUUUCUUAGCGGUUGUGCAUCGUGUUUGUGGCACCCUCCAUGGAUCAUCUCUUAUGACCUACGUCUUCCUUGUGUAAAUUGUUAAACUUGAUGUGUCUCUCUCUUUGUCUCCAAUGUGAGUUUAUCUUAGGACUUCCCAGGUUGAUAUUGAAAGUUUUCCUACAGGGGUUAGUCCAACAAAAUAUCCAAUAUCUACUAUAGCAUACUAUCGGCUCAAAAAUCAACCUAGACACCAUGUCUAAUUUGAUUUAGGAGAGCAUUUUAACCUAAGCACCAUGCUUAAUUUAAAAUCCCUUGGAAGUAAGAUCAUCAUUCCUAAACUAAGCACCAUGCUUAAUUAAGAGAUAAAUGAAACUACUCCAAACCUAGACACAUACUAAAGCAAAUAAAGGUAGCAUGAGAGCAUUUAUAGAGAUCUACUCAAGUGGAGAUGAAGUAGUGUUAUUAAUAUUUAACCAAUUGAGCAUGUCUCAAAGGUAGGGACAACCAACAUAGCAACAUGGCAAAGGAUGUUUUUAUGUAAAGUACUCCCCCAAGCUUGAAUUUUGCAAAAUUCAAGUAUGGAUUUAAUUCAAUGUUGUAUGAUGAUUGGUUGGACAUACCUAGUGCUUGUCAUUUAUCCAAUCUUCUUGCUCCAAUCCUGGAAAGGUUAGUGACAAGAAUACCCGAAGGAAUAUUUUUACAAUUAUCCUUAUAUGCUCAAUACACAAGGUAAUGUUGCAAAUAAUUAAAAGCUCAUGUUACGAUCUGAUCAGUGCUUAUUUUAGGACACUAAGCUUGUCCUUGGGAAACCAUCAAUUUAUGUCGGUGAAGUGGUUUCCCUUCCAACGCUGACCUAUAUCAAGAUCAACUCAACGAGAUCUGCAAUAUUUAUUAUAAACAUAUGCAUCGACAACUGCCCUUUUAAAGUUUUUAUAAAUAGAAAGUAAGAGGGGGUUGGAGAUCUCGAAUGUGGUGAUGUUGGAGAGACCAAUAGAUUGGGAAGAUGUUGCAUAUGAGCAUGGAGUAAACGAAGUGGCUAUGAAAUAAAUUCCAUGCUCAUUAAUGUUAUCUUCGUCUCCAAUCUGAACGUUCGGAGUUUCUCCUAGAUUGGUCUCACCUAUAUCCUCUUCUGUAGUUGGAUGAAUCUCAUCUUCAAAGGGAGUCAAGAACUCACCAUUUGAAAUUGAGCCAAAGUCAGAAUCCAUUAAUGCUUCUUCCUUAUCCAUCCAUUCUACACAUUCUAGCCAUUUAGAACUUGUGAUCUGGAAAGGGGAGGUGUUAGAAUUUUCUAUACGACUUAGCUCUCCUUCUAUGACAUUACUUGACAUGUCAUCCUCAUGGUCUUUAUGACUCCUAUGGUUUGAUCGUCUUGAUGGAUUGCUAGGAUCAUCAUGAGAGUGAAAAGGAGAGGGAUAAGAGGGGUCUCUAAGGUCAAGGAUGAAUUUAGAAUUUGUGAACAUGGAAGGUGAGCAGAUAGAAUCUUCUAUAUGGUUUAGCUCUCCUUCACUUGAUAUUUCAUCCUCGACUUCUUCAUAAAAGGAACUAGGACAUUCUCUAAGAGAACCAUUAUUGCAAGGAUUUGAAUUAUCCCUGCUUGAAGGUCUCUUAGGCCAGUCUCAAUGCAUAGUUUCAUGGCACAGUUACCAAGAGUAUAAACUAGGUAACCGAGCCAUAAGAGUUUUAUGGGGAUGAAACUUCUCUCUCAUCUGAUGAAACUCCUUCAUUUAAUGACCCUGCCAAAUCAGCAAUUUUGCUUAUGUGACACCCUAUUUAAUGUGCAUGACACUCUCAUGAAACAUGCAUUGAGACUGGCCUUAUGGAACCAGAAGUCUAAACCAUCAUCAUCUGAAAGAUUUAAGGUCGGAAUUCCUUCCUCCCUUGGAGAAUUUUGGGGUAUUGAUGGCUUAGGAUCGAUAGCUAAAGUUUGGGAUUGAAGUGGUUGUGAUCUGGCUAUCGAAACUUCUUCUUCUUGUCUAGGAACUGGUUCUUUCUCUUUCUCAGGGAUAUAAAUGCUAGGAGACUUUCCACUCAAUGAAUCAAUUAAAUCCCUAGCUUCACUAGCAGGUAGGUGAUAGAAGGAUCCUCUAGAGGCUGUAUUUAAAGUUUGCUUAUUUUCCCUACUAAGGCCCUCAAAAAAUUGAAUUAGAAGAACUUCUUCUGGAAUAGAAAGCUUUGGGCCAGUGAGAGUAAGGUUAAUAAAGCGGUCCCAUGAUUUGCCAAGAGAUUCUUCUUCCAGUUGUCAAAAAGAAAUAAUCUCACGCCGAAGUUCUGCCACUUUGGAGAUUGGAAAAUAUUUAAAAAGAAAACUAUUAUGUAACUCCUUCCAUUCUCCAUGAACACUCCCUACUUUGAGUUUGUGCCAAUGUCUAGCUUUUCCCGUUAAAGAGAACAGAAAGAGCUUCCAUUUAAGGGUCUCAUCGGACAUGCCUUCUAUGCAAAGGAGGUCACAGACUCGAUAAAACUCUCUUAGGUGUGUGUAUGGGUUUUCCUCACCUUCUCCUGAGAAAGGUUGUUUUUGAACAAAUUCUAUGUAUUCGGGGUCUAUCUCAAAACUAGAUGCUAUGAUAGGCUUUGAAGAUUUUGGUGGUUCGAGAUGUGUGCCCGUAGGUCUAUGAAACUGAUAGAUGGACAUGUUUGCAUUCAUGAUAGACCAGAGAUCAAGGAUUAGAUAAGAAGAAACAAUAGCAGAGAUGAGGCAAAGGAUAAAAGGAAAAGUAUUUGUUUUUAUUUUGUAGAAAAUGAUUAAGCUAGUUCGUAGUCAACUCAGCAACCGUCUCCCCGGCAACGGCGCCAAAAAUGCUUGUUGACACUUGCUAACACCACUUGAAUACUAGGUUGUCAUCCCCAGCAUGGCACUAGAGUGUACUAUGGUAUUUAUACGCACACAGAUAAAUCCGCAAGCGCACGGAUACCGUUGUAGCUUUUACCCGGUUAAAGGUUUUAUCGUAUCCACAGGGAAACGGGAGAACCAACUACGCUCUAACUUAACCAAGACAGAUAGAUAGGUGUAAAUAGGAAACAUGGUAGAAUUGAAUAAGAACAAUAUUAAAGGUAAGAUAACAAUGGGUGAUAAUAUGGGAAUAGAGAGUAGAGCAAUGUAAUAUAUGGGCGAUGGUAGGAGUAUAGAGAGGAUAACUAUAGUUUCUCUACUUCAAAGGGGUAUGUCUAUAUCUGGGACGAACCACGUGAUAAGAAUACACCACAAAGGAUGCUUAUCCAUAGGCCGAUAAACCCUACCCGUCCUGCUAACAAGAGGUGGACUACAGGGGACCAACGUAACUGUCACCAACGUGGCCUCCACACGAUCCAGCUAGACAGGGGAUAUCCACAACUAAUCUAGGUCUAAGCACCUCGCUUACACCUAUACUACAACUCUCACCUAUAGCGUCCUAUAGAUUAAAGUACUCAAAAGAGUUAUGAACCAGAACAUACAUAGAUAGUAAUUGCAUAAUGAAUUAGAAGUACAUUACCAGAGUCAUCCCAUGAGCAAGCUUGAUUAGAACUUGAUCAUGGCGAAGUACAACCGAAGGAAGAACCGACAUGCCGGCCUCUCCUGCAAUCCUCCUUCGCUCUCCAUCUCGCUACUAUCUAGAUCUACUCUAGUUUAGAGAAGAGAGGAGAGCUCUCAUCUCCAAACCCUAGGUUUUGCUCUGUCUAUGAAUAAUGAAUAAGGAUCAAGGGGUGCCUCCUCUAGGGGCCAAGGGGUCUGCUUAUAUAGUCCUUCCAAAUGAAUGUGGGCCGUCGGAUCAAAUUGACAUUAAUCACAGGGUUUUCCUUGAUCAUUUAGGUCGGUGGAGCAUAAUCCGCGAGACUCAACCUGAUUGGUUCCUGUAGCAGGGCAGGCACCCAAGGGGGGAGGGCGGGCGCCCUGCCCCCGAGCCCGCUCGGCUUCCCGUUCGUUCCCGUGGCUUCUGGAGUCUUCUAGAUGAUAGAAAAUUGCGAGGUAUGUUAAUAUCUCUAUGUAAAUCGACAUGUGGGCGUUUCCUCCAUAUUUCCUAAUAACCCCGUGCAGAAAUAAACAAACACCAAAACUCGUGGAAUUCUGUCAGAUAAAACCCUAAGUCUAGGUGUCGGUUGCAUUUGGAUCCUUUUCUUUAUUUAUUUGAUGAUUAAAUUUGAUACUUAAGGACCGUCAACAACUCCCCCAAGCUUACCUCUUGCAAGGAUGGACUCAAGAGUUUCUGCAAUGGUUUCAUGCCUUAAAGGUACACAUGCGUUCAAGCAAGAUCUCAUCUCUGAGUUAGAGUAAACUGUUAAGACUUAAAACUUACUCAUUUUACCUUUCACCAUGGGGCUUGCAACCAUUACUUGUGUCUUGAGCAGUUAAAAGAUAGAACGGUCAAGUCAAGCACCAUGUCUCUUGUUCUUGAUCAACUAUAGCUCUAGAGUUUUUGCAGAUUUUCAAAUAAAACUCAUAGAUUCCUGUAUGACUCUCUCUAGUCUCUCUUUUGUGGUAUUUCUGGAUCCUCACCAAGGCAGUGAUGGUGUAUGCCUUCUCUCAAAGUAUGUAGUAUUUGUGGUAUGAGGCAUAGUGAUAUUGCCUUCUCUCUCACCCUACUCUAAUAAGGUUUUGAUAUCUGGAGCUCAUAGGUGCGAGACAGCUAAUACAUACUUACAAGACAUUUAUUGCAUAGUCAAACCAUGGAUCCAGAGAAACAAGUCAAUAAGUCAAAUCAAGAUGUGCAUGUAUGGCGAAUGAAUGGUGAAUGGUGAUGAUGGUGAUAAUGGUGAAAACAAUGGUGAAAGUCUAAUUCUACUUUUGCUCUUUUGAGAGGAUACAUACCUUUCUUGCACUUUGAAGUUUUUUGAGGGGAAUGAGAUGCUCUAUAUUUUCUUUUUCUUUUCCCUCAGGUGGGUAUCUUGUACCCCUAAUUCUACUGUCGGACAAUUGUCCAUUUUUACCUCUCGUCUCACUUUUUCAUUUCUUCGAGGUUCCGGGCACUUGCCCCUUUUUAUUUCCUCGUAUUUUUUCUCUUUUUUUUAGAGCACUCACCCUCCUGAAAUAAUAUAGCAAGUGGUAGUAACCAAGAUAACUCGAGCAUUUAUUUCAUAGGGGAAAAAUAGAAAUGUUUUUGUUUAUUCUCUCCCGGAUUAGGAGUAGAAUAUUUUUGGGUGGUUCUAGAGAUGGAAAGGAGUGGAUGUAUGUGGAUGCGUACUUCUGGAGUAGAAGCAGUAUGUAUGAGUGAACAUGCAAGUGAAUCUUGAUUUUAACCGCAUGACAAGCUCCUAAGGGUCUACACAGCUAGACCGCACUGAAUGCUCAUAAGCAAUAAAAAGUAAAUGUGUAGCUCAAAGUCUAGCAAUCAUGUAUAUAUAGCUGUGGUAGGAUUUUAAACUCUCAUCAUACAGGAACUCAUCUUGCAACAUUUUAAAGAUUUUUAAAGAUAAAAUUCUCCAGAAUUCUAGCAUCUCUAGGAACAGAUAAAUAGCAGCUCAACCUUCCCAUAUCGUAUCCACUAACAACUUAGACUUUAGAUCAAGUACUCUUCCCACAAGUUCAGGUUUAGAGCAAAUCUUAAUUCAUAACAGUCAUGCCUAAACUUGAGAGAGAUUUCAAUUUUGAGAACUAGUCAUGGUAGAGCAACUAUUCAUCAUUUCUAUGUGAGAGCUUAUCAUGAGGGUUCAUAGCAAACUUUAUUUAUUUAUUUAUUUAGCAAACUAAGCAAAGAUAUAUAUAUAUAUAUAAGCAUAAAAUCUUUAUUUGGGUUUUUAUGAUUAUGCAUCUUUUUAUUAUUUGAGUAAAGUAUAAACGCGAGUAGAAACACUUAGCUGGAUAAAUGGGGGUGCUCUCCCCCAAGCUGGAUUUUGACGUAAUUUCUUCUGAUGUAGCUAGCAGGUGACGGAGGUGUAUUUGAAUGUCGGCAGCACCCUGACAGCGAUUACUAUGUCCUCCACCGGCUAGUCUUCUUUGAUCCUUGAAUUCUAUGGAGCUCAAAUAGACAACAAAGCUUUGUGGAACUAGUUAAGUGUUAGAAUAAAAUCUCUUAGCCUUUAUUAUAUUGAUAUUAUUCCUAAUAAAUUUUAUUUAUUUAGCAGGAUCAUGCACUUAUUAUUUUUAUAUUCUAUUGUAAGAUGAAAACAUAUUUAUUUUAUGCCACCACAGUCAAUAUACCUAUGGGUUUUAAACCACAAGUCUACUCACAUGGGGCUUUAGAUUUCAUGAUGCAGUGCAAUGAACAAAUAUUUUUGUUUUCUUUUCUAAUCCUAAUGUGGAAAAGUAGAUAUGCUAAUGCAAGUGAUGGAAUAAAAAGGAAAAGGAAUGCAGAAAAGAUAAAUAUGGAUAACUACCGAUUUUACCUUUCGGCGAGGGUUCAAUGUUUUAAGUCUUCUCAACAAGACUUCUCACCGUGUUCAUUCUUUAGGUGCGUCAUUUGAUUCAGGUGUGGACCUUGACGUCUGCACCUCUUGAUACAGUGUCACCUAUGUUCUUUGGUUGCCCAGCAGUUUGAAGUGCGGCGUUGGCAGUAUCUUGCUCAGUGUGUUUGUGCUCGUAGAUCCAGGUCCUUCACUUGGUGGAGUCUGGGAGUUGUAAAACUCCUCCAUGUUUUGCUCGAAGUGUACCUGCUCAUAGAGACAAGGCAGAGAUCAAGUGCAUGGGCCCUGUUGGUGGAAAACACCAAGAGAACCAAAAGUGUAUUUGUUCUUCUCUAACCUUAAGCAUAGUGAGCAAGACAAAGUUGAUGGAUACUAAGAUCAUGAGUGUAGCAUUUAAAACAAUUGUCAGAUCAGAUCGCUCAACCUUAUGGAA